Molecule: ribosomal RNA, 492 nt
Filed under: uncultured bacterium
Lineage: Bacteria
Description: partial 16S ribosomal RNA
Rfam family: Bacterial small subunit ribosomal RNA
Source: RNAcentral
AGUGAACGCUGGCGGUAGGCCUAACACAUGCAAGUCGAACGGCAGCACAGUAAGAGCUUGCUCUUACGGGUGGCGAGGGGCGGACGGGUGAGGAAUACAUCGGAAUCUACUUUGUCGUGGGGGAUAACGUAGGGAAACUUACGCUAAUACCGCAUACGACCUACGGGUGAAAUCAGGGGAUCUUCGGACCUUGCGCGAUUGAAUGAGCCGAUGUCGGAUUAGCUAGUUGGCGAGGUAAAGUCCCACCAAGGCGACGAUCCGUAGCUGGGAUGAGAAGAUGGACGGCCACACGCGAACUGAGACACGGCCCCGACUCCUACGGGAGGCACCAGUAGGGAAUAUUCCACAAUGCGCGAAAGCCUGACCCAGCCAUACCGCCUGAAUCAUGCACGUCUUCGUAUCCUAAACCACCGUUAUUAUAAAAGAACAUCAGCAUCAGUACCCACCCUUAUCCUCACGGUACCUAAUCAGUAAGCCCCCGCUAACUUCGUG